UGGCUUCUGUUAGGAAGUGGAAGGUUAGCCUCCCAAAUGAUCCAAAAGAGCUUCACGAACUAGGGAUAGAAGGGUCUGCUAGAUCUGCAAGAAAUAGGAUUGACCAUACUUAUUUAUUAAGGUCGAUCCUCUAAUUUUCACAAAUUAUUAGCUAAACUGUUUAAUUUGUACCUAAUAUUAUUUUCCACAGUUGUUAUAACUCAUUACCAGCCACCUUAAUCUCCAUAUUUGUGCACUGGCAGAUUGCUUGACAAAGCUGCUGUAAAGAGUGGACCAACCUCACCUUGGAUGCUAUGUCCAGUGACUCAAGUUGAAGAAACCAAGCAAAUGAUAAAAAUGCUUCCUGUUUUAAUGGUCACAUUCAUACCUAGUGCCAUGCUAGCUCAAUUAAGCACGUUUUUCGUCAAACAAGGGACAACCUUAGACAGAAGCAUGGGACCCCAUUUCGAAAUCCCUCCGGCAAGCCUCGGAGCAUUUGUGACAAUCUUCAUGCUGGCAAGCCUCGUGUUGUAUGAUCGUUGCUUUGUCCCAAUAGCUAGACACUACACAAAAAACCCAAGAGGGAUUACUAUGCUGCAAAGAAUGGGGAUUGGUAUUAUCUUGCAUAUUAUUGUCAUGAUCGUAGCUUUCGUAGUUGAAAGGAAAAGACUCAGUGUUGCAAGAGAACAUAAUAUUGUAGGCAAACUAGAAGUAGUGCCUCUCAGCAUUUUUGUACUCCUACCUCAGUUUGCUUUAGUAGGGAUUUCUGAUACGUUCUUGGAAGUAGCCAAGCUAGAGUUUUUCUAUGACCAGGCCCCGGAAGGAAUGAAAAGCUUGGGGACUUCGUAUUUCUGUAGCAGUAUUGGAGUUGGGAAUUACCUCAGCAGUUUUAUCCUGUCAACGGUUUCUGGGAUCACUAAGAAACAUGGCCAUAAAGGGUGGAUUUUGGACAAUCUAAAUCUCUCUCGCAUAGACUAUUAUUAUGCAUUCUUGGCCAUCUUGGGCUUUCUCAACUUCCUCCUCUUUUUGCUUGUGGCAAACUACUUUGUUUAUAAUGUCGACAUGGACUCCAAAAGGGAUCUGCAGAGAGCAAUGGAAACUUCCUCUAGCAAAAGUCCUGUUCAGAUUUUAUAAUGAAGACUCGUAGGCUGGGUAUUCGAUGUCCUAUGGACCUUAUUGUAUCAUCUCUUGCUAUAAAAAAUGUCUUUUGAUUUAGAAACAUAAAUUUCAUUUCGGUAACAAUGGUUUGUCUUUAGCAAUGAGCUCUAACACUCAAACUGUUAUUAAACUUGGCCUGGCUAAUAUGAAACUUGAUCUAAGAUAGAUUUUAUGGAUACAAUAAAAACAUUCGAUCAAAACUCAACGAUUUUUUUUUAAAAAAAAAUAUUAAACUUUUUUUAAAAAAAUUAAAUUCACUCACCGGUUUCGUAGACUGAAACUUGCACCGAAUCCACUCUCGAAUGAAUUCAUGUUAGUUUAAAAGAUUAGCAACAAAAUAGCAUUUUUCUCCAAAUUUGUACUAGAACCCUAGAAUUGAUAAUUUGGGUUUCUUUUUUCUUUCCCUCCUUCUAAAACUACUAGAACCAUGAAAUAAGGAUUAAGAAACAUCUUACCAACUAAGUUCGAGUUCAAUUGAAGGGUUUCUUGACAAACUCUUCUUCUUCUUCUUUUCCUUUUUUCUCUUUCCCAAUUUCUAGUUACUCUCUCUUAUUCCUUAUUGUCAAAACCAACCCUCUCUCUGUAUAUUCUCAUUUGCUUCUCCUUUGUUGUUUACACAAAAUUUAUCUCAAGCUCUCCAUUUGGAAGGACAUGCAUGCUGUAUUGGAGGAGAAAACAAAUGAGAAGAAGAUGUUCUUCUUUCCUAAGUUAGAU
Molecule: long non-coding RNA, 1851 nt
Filed under: Populus trichocarpa (black cottonwood)
Lineage: Eukaryota; Viridiplantae; Streptophyta; Magnoliopsida; Malpighiales; Salicaceae
Description: long non-coding RNA (PTRI_LNC000793)
Source: RNAcentral